CCGGCUGUGGCUCAGUUGGUAGAGCGGGUUGUACUCUACUCACAGGGUUGGGGGUUUGAUCCCCCCAGGCCAGU
RNAcentral lists this transfer RNA (74 nucleotides) under Perca flavescens (yellow perch). RNAcentral describes it as "tRNA-OTHER". The record is from RNAcentral. Lineage: Eukaryota; Metazoa; Chordata; Actinopteri; Perciformes; Percidae.